Long non-coding RNA from Halichondria panicea, 449 nucleotides. RefSeq lists it as uncharacterized. The transcript has 3 exons. The record is from RefSeq and is a predicted model, not a curated record. NCBI's taxonomy places the organism in Eukaryota, Metazoa, Porifera, Demospongiae, Suberitida, Halichondriidae.
UGGUAUUGAUCCUGGACCAGCUGUAUUUGGGGUGGUGCAUUGUAUCUAUGACGACCCGACCCAUCGUGACAGACAAACAGAUGUACUCGUGUGGUUCAGUGACCCAAAAUGAGGAGGGGAGGAUGUAUGGACUCUCACUAUCACAAGCCAGAGAGCCGUGGGAGAAAAGUGAAGGUUCCUCUGGUAUUGAUCGUGGACUGGCUGUAUUGGGGUAGUGCCUUGUAUCUAUAACGACCCGACCCACACAGAUCAGCAGAUGUUCUCAUGUGGUUUACUGGCCCCAAAAUGAGGAGGGGAGGAUCAAUGUGUGGACUCACACUAUCACAAGCCGGGAGAGCCGUGGGAGAAGAAUGAGCAGUGAUAAUGCCUGGUGCAUGCAGUCUGCUGUAGUGGUCUGUCUCACUUCACUCUGUCAGCUGCUGGGAGAAUAGAACAACAUAAUCCGACGU